RNAcentral lists this ribosomal RNA (457 nucleotides) under uncultured bacterium. RNAcentral describes it as "SSU rRNA". It matches the Rfam family "Bacterial small subunit ribosomal RNA", at positions 26 to 518 of the family's 1533-position model. The record is from RNAcentral.
AGAAUCAACGCUGGCGGCGUGCCUAACACAUGCAAGUCGAACGAGAAAGUGGAGCAAUCCAUGAGUAAAGUGGCGCACGGGUGAGUAACACGUGACUAACCUACCCUUGAGUGGGGGAUAACCUAGAGAAAUCUGGGCUAAUACCGCAUAAUACCUUCGGGUCAAAGGAGCAAUUCGCUUAAGGAGGGGGUCGCGGCCGAUUAGUUAGUUGGCGGGGUAAUGGCCCACCAAGACUGUGAUCGGUAUCCGGCCUGAGAGGGCGCACGGACACACUGGAACUGAAACACGGUCCAGACUCCUACGGGAGGCAGCAGUGGGAAUUUGCGCAAUGGGGGAAACCCUGACGCAGCAACGCCGCGUGGAGGAUGAAGUCCCUUGGGACGUAAACUCCUUUCGAUCGGGACGAUUAUGACGGUACCGAGAGAAGAAGCCCGGCUAACUUCGCGCCAGCAGCCGC